This 211-nucleotide long non-coding RNA is filed under the name Physcomitrium patens. RNAcentral describes it as "long non-coding RNA (PPAT_LNC009295)". Lineage: Eukaryota; Viridiplantae; Streptophyta; Bryopsida; Funariales; Funariaceae. The record is from RNAcentral.
GAUCGUAAGUACAAAGGGGUAUUGAAGAUUAACAGUUUGGGUUGUUCGGGGUUCUCUGUAACGUCUAGAGACCUAUCGGCUGGGGUAAAAAAAAAAGACUUCGACAAGCAGUCGAAGAGCAUCCGUAUAGAUUUACGGUACAUUGUUGCAGUCGUUUAUAUUCCAGCAGUCAAAAACUGAUAGACUGCUUGACUAUCGACGAAUCUCCAUA